RNAcentral lists this ribosomal RNA (253 nucleotides) under uncultured bacterium. Its description in RNAcentral is "partial 16S ribosomal RNA". It matches the Rfam family "Bacterial small subunit ribosomal RNA", at positions 524 to 776 of the family's 1533-position model. The record is from RNAcentral.
UACGGAGGAUGCAAGCGUUAUCCGGAAUUAUUGGGCGUAAAGCGUCCGCAGGUGGCACUUCAAGUCUGCUGUCAAAGACCGGGGCUUAACCCUGGAGAGGCAGUGGAAACUGAAGCGCUAGAGUGUCGUAGGGGUAGAGGGAAUUCCUGGUGUAGCGGUGAAAUGCGUAGAGAUCGGGAGGAACAUCUGUGGCGAAGGCGGCCAUCUGGACCAGCACUGACACUGAGGCACGAAAGCGUGGGGAGCAAACAGG